AAUCAACGCUGGCGGCGUGCCUCAGACAUGCAAGUCGAACGAUUAAAGCUCUCUUCGGAGAGUGCAUAGAGUGGCGCACGGGUGAGUAACACGUAAGUAAUCUACCUUCGAGUGGGGAAUAACGUCCGGAAACGGGCGCUAAUACCGCAUAAUGCAGCGGCAUCGCAAGAUGACAGUUGUUAAAGGAGCAAUCCGCUUGAAGAGGAGCUUGCGGCAGAUUAGCUAGUUGGUAGGGUAAUGGCCUACCAAGGCUACGAUCUGUAACCGGUCUUAGAGGACGGUCGGUCACACUGACACUGAAUAACGGGUCAGACUCCUACGGGAGGCAGCAGUCGGGAAUUUUGGGCAAUGGGGGAAACCCUGACCCAGCAACGCCGCGUGAAGGAUGAAGUAUUUCGGUAUGUAAACUUCGAAAGAAUAGGAAGAAUUAAUGACGGUACUAUUUAUAAGGUCCGGCUAACUACGUGCCAGCAGCCGUCGGUAAAGUCGAUAUCG
This 495-nucleotide ribosomal RNA is filed under the name uncultured bacterium. RNAcentral's name for it is "bacterial SSU rRNA". It matches the Rfam family "Bacterial small subunit ribosomal RNA", at positions 32 to 536 of the family's 1533-position model. The record is from RNAcentral.